This 253-nucleotide ribosomal RNA is filed under the name uncultured bacterium. RNAcentral's name for it is "partial 16S ribosomal RNA". It matches the Rfam family "Bacterial small subunit ribosomal RNA", at positions 524 to 776 of the family's 1533-position model. The record is from RNAcentral.
UACGUAGGGUGCAAGCGUUGUCCGGAAUUAUUGGGCGUAAAGAGCUCGUAGGCGGUUUGUCGCGUCGAAUGUGAAAACCCGGGGCUCAACCCCGGGCCUGCAUUCGAUACGGGCAGACUAGAGUUCGGUAGGGGAGUCUGGAAUUCCUGGUGUAGCGGUGAAAUGCGCAGAGAUCAGGAGGAACACCUGUGGUGUAGACAGCUUACUGGACGAUAACUGACGCUGAGGCACGAAAGCGUGGGUAGCAAACAGG